GAUGAACGCUGGCGGCGUGCCUAAUACAUGCAAGUCGAGCGAACGGACGAGAAGCUUGCUUUUCUGAUGUUAGCGGCGGACGGGUGAGUAACACGUGGAUAACCUACCUAUAAGACUGGGAUAACUUCGGGAAACCGGAGCUAAUACCGGAUAAUAUUUUGAACCGCAUGGUUCAAAAGUGAAAGACGGUCUUGCUGUCACUUAUAGAUGGAUCCGCGCUGCAUUAGCUAGUUGGUAAGGUAACGGCUUACCAAGGCAACGAUGCAUAGCCGACCUGAGAGCGUGGGCGGCCACACUGGAACUGAGACACGGACCAGACUCCUACGGGAGGCAGCAGUAGGGAAUCUUCCGCAAUGGGCGAAAGCCUGACGGAGCAACGCCGCGUGAGUGAUGAAGGUCUUCGGAUCGUAAAACUCUGUUAUUAGGGAAGAACAUAUGUGUAAGUAACUGUGCACAUCUUGACGGUACCUAAUCAGAAAGCCACGGCUAACUACGUG
Molecule: ribosomal RNA, 497 nt
Filed under: uncultured bacterium
Lineage: Bacteria
Description: partial 16S ribosomal RNA
Rfam family: Bacterial small subunit ribosomal RNA
Source: RNAcentral